This 309-nucleotide unclassified non-coding RNA is filed under the name fungal sp. RNAcentral's name for it is "partial internal transcribed spacer region". The stretch from base 1 to 46 matches the Rfam family "Eukaryotic small subunit ribosomal RNA", at positions 1786 to 1831 of the family's 1831-position model. The record is from RNAcentral. Lineage: Eukaryota; Fungi.
AAGUCGUAACAAGGUUUCCGUAGGUGAACCUGCGGAAGGAUCAUUAACAAAUUCUUCAACACUGACGUCCCAUCCAGUGUGUUUGUGUGUGUGUGUGUGUGUGUGGUGCUUGUCUAGUAAAGGGGAUGAUCUCUCAUCAUGUCAAAUGAAGAGAGAGGGUUCCCGUGAACAACAAACGCACAUACAUACAUACAUACAUACACGCACAUUGGAUGGUGUACUCACUCACACACAUCUUGAUGGACAACACCUAGUGAUUCAUAUUACAAAAUGUAUAGACAACUUUUAACAAUGGAUCUCUUGGCUCUU